GUGGUUAGCAUUCGUCGCCAACGAGAAAUUGGGGUCGGCCCGAAAGCUCUAGAAUGCACCCCUAUUCCUCCCCGGGGCCAUUCCCGCUCAACGAGUUUUAUGACCUAAAAAACCCCACAGGCUGGUCUGAAGGUCGGAGGCCUAAUUUUAACGCGUUUUCCUCCCUUUAAUUUGAAACGGGAACGCGAAUAACUAAAAUAGGAAGACACUUAAAGAUGAAGUGCUUAAUUCAAGGUCACAGAAUGUCGGGGAUGGACCUCCAGAUUUCCUUACUGACCUGCAUUAUCUUGUGGAUACCUGAGUGAAUUCCACACCACCCAUUUUAUAGAUGAAGCCACUGAGACGUGGAGCAACUGACUGAGUAGUCACUGCCCCACCCCUGCCUGGAGCCUCACACAUGACUUCUCUUAGUGACCACAGGUUGGUUGAGGGGUUUAACAAGGCUAAGAAGUACUUAUCCUGUAUUACAUGAGGGAAAUGAAAUAAAAAGACUGCAACCCUCCUCCCAGCUACUCUAGUGAGGUGGUAGCUAGAGACAGAGUCUUCUUGCUAUGUUGCCCAGGCUGGUCUUGAACUCCUAACCUCAAGCGAUCCUCCCAUCUUGGCCUCCCAGGUGUCAGGAUUACAGGCAUGUGCUAUCACACCCAACCUGAUACAUUGCCUUUAUAAAUUUUUUUUUCUUUAUUCUAAAAAACAGAAAAAACAAAACUGGAUACAUGUGCAGAACAUGCAGACCAAGUGUGUUGGGGACUUGAGAUAUGUACAUGAGUGUUUGUGAUGUUUCCUGGUGAAAGCACAGGUGAGACGUGGUCUUGUAACACAGUGGUUAAGAAUGUGACUUUGGAGCCAGCCUGCUAGGGGCUGAAUUCUGACUCAGCCAUUUAUUAACUGUGUGACCUUAGGGAGGAGGACCUGGUUGAUAGAAGAAUUUAUCUCAUAGUCUUAACAUCCACUGUAAUUCCGAACUUUGAGGACGAUAGAGAUCAGUGGGCUUUGACUGCCCAGCAUGCAGUCUCCAUU
This 1020-nucleotide non-coding RNA is filed under the name Pongo abelii (Sumatran orangutan). Lineage: Eukaryota; Metazoa; Chordata; Mammalia; Primates; Hominidae. The record is from RNAcentral.